Molecule: long non-coding RNA, 493 nt
Organism: Eriocheir sinensis (Chinese mitten crab)
Lineage: Eukaryota; Metazoa; Arthropoda; Malacostraca; Decapoda; Varunidae
Exons: 3
Source: RefSeq, a predicted model, not a curated record
CUCUCUCUCUCUCUCUCUCUGUACGAUGUCCUGAGUACGAUAAUUAAUGUUGUGACGCAGCUCGACCCUCACCUCGAAGCAGCCUCACAAGGACUCGGACUCUCCACCACACCAAGCAACCAUGGCGAACACAACCAGAACAGCUCCUAGUGAAUGUGGAGGAUGAGAAAACAAAGCAGAAAACAAGGAGAAUGAUAUAAGAAGCGAUAGUAAGCGCAACAGGUCAAAAGAAGAAUAAGAAGCCACCCUCCAUCUUUUCCCGAUGUGGUCCAGGUCCAUGGUGGUCACCAGGGCUGGGUGGUGGAACCACUGGCAUCAUGCAUUCCAUGGACACUGAAGAUGAAAUUCUUUGGUCAGUAUGUCGUCAAUGUGAGCCGUCCGAGCACAUUUUGAAGGAAGGCCAUGAGAGGACACAAACUUCAGCUUCUCCUCCAUCUGAGACAACAUAAGGCUCAGUGGCUCCCCCAGGCGGUGCUGCUCCCACACCUCGAAC